CGACAGUGGCCACGGGUCCCGGCCCCUGGAGCUUAGGAGGAGCGAACCGGGACCCGCGGCGCAGCGGAGGGCCGAGCGCCCGCUCUCUGCCAGCCCUGACGGUCUCUUUCUCUCCCACGCAGCCUGCCCGCGUCCCCGAGCCUAGGCACCGGAUCCCGGCGAGCGCGUGGACCCGGGGCCGGCGCUCCCAGGGCUCCCGAGCCAGCGAGAAGCCGAGCUGCUCCAGAAGAUGAGGAGAGCGGGGCGAGGGCGGAGCGGCCGCGCGCUCCGGGUGUGAGCGCCCACCCGCCGCCGCCUCCCGGCGCCCGGGGUCCGGCCAUGCGUGCGCCGUGAGUGCGGGCGGUCGGAGUUGUGGGCCUGCGGCUUAGGAGGUAAUGCUGGCUUGCUUUUGAGUGGCCUGGGGAGAGUGAAGAAACCCCAAAAUGGAGGACUUUUCUACCAGGACCUACGGCACCAGUGGCCUGGACAACAGACCCCUGUUUGGGGAGACGUCGGCCAAGGAGCUUUCUGUGUUGCUUUGCCUGCCCCUUCUUGGGAAUAUCGAGAGAAGCAUUGCUGGAGAGAAGAAACACAUCAGCUGGAUUUUUGAGCUGUGGUGCAUUGGAAAUCAGUGCUUGAUCCUGCUGUGGCAGAAAGAUCGAAUCGUCAAUUUAGUUGUUGGCAGCUUAACAUCUUUAUUGAUUCUAGUAACGCUGAUCAGCGCUUUUGUUUUCCCUCAUGUACCUCCAAAACCGUUGAAUAUAUUUUUUGCCGUCUGCAUCUCUUUGAGUAGUAUUACUGCCUGCAUACUUAUCUACUGGUAUCGACAAGGAGACUUAGAACCAAAAUUUAGAAAACUCAUUUAUUAUAUCAUAUUUUCUAUCAUCAUGUUAUGUAUAUGUGCAAACCUAUACUUCCAUGAUGUGGGAAGGUGAGGCUACCCAGGAGAAAUACUUACCAGGACUCUUCAAUUUGACAAAAUAGGACAGCGAAUAAUUGUUGGAUAAGAAGGAAGUUUUGUUUUUUGAAAUUGCCUGGAGAGGAAGUAUAUUGUACCUGCCAGUUAAUGCACUAAAUGAAAGGCAAAUUCUUAAUACCCCCAACUUUUUCGGGUAAUUAUAUAUUGCAAAACAUGUAAUAAAUGCUCAUGGUAUCAAGGAUAGGCAACUUUAUCUCCUUAUCCGUUUAGUUUUACUUCAAAGUGCUAACUUGUAAACUAUUGACAGUGGUUUCUGAUGGGGUAAAAAUUGCUUAGCUUCUGGUGGGUUUUGUUACUAUGCUUAUCCAUAUUCCCUUUAAAGUAGUAAAAAACCUGUAGUGAAUGUUAACUCUUUUAAUGCUUUCCUCUUUACCUUGCCUAAAUCAGCUCCCACUGCCAACAGUGUAACCACAAUGUCCUAUGUCUCUGUAUUUGUAUGCUGGUCAAAUCUCAAAGUAAUGGUAUUUAAUUUUAAAGUUCAUUUGAUAGACCUAUUGAUAUGACUUCUUUAAAUUACUACCCGGCCUAUUUGAGUCUGACAUUUAGAGAUGAAUAGUACUGUUUUGAAACCACAGCAGUUAAAAACUUCAGUGACCUCAAACUUUUCUCAGUAGCUGAAGUGAAUGAAAUUGCCUACUAACAAAUAACACUUAGCAUAGGGAUCUACACAGUUCAAUUCAAACUCCCAUAGUCCACUCAACUACACACUGUUGUAGAACUGGACCUCGGAUGACGUAUUUAAAGGAGAUAAAAAGUCAUAGCAGCAAUAAUAUGUGUGGGUUAAGCACUGUAACUAUUUCAAAUGGUAAAUUAAACUUCCUGAGGGUGAGUUGUUCCUACUUCCUUAAAGAUGCUGUGAUUAACCGUGUGGCUUCUUUGCUUGAACUGCCUGUUUCUAAGA
RNA transcript from Nycticebus coucang (slow loris), 1859 nucleotides. It is a transcript of the gene named transmembrane protein 243, with no coding region annotated. The transcript has 7 exons. Lineage: Eukaryota; Metazoa; Chordata; Mammalia; Primates; Lorisidae. The record is from RefSeq and is a predicted model, not a curated record.